GUCGCCCUUGCGGUAGCGCACCUGCUUUGGGAGCAGGGGGCCGCGGGUUCAAAUCCCGCCAGCCCGA
RNAcentral lists this transfer RNA (67 nucleotides) under Caudoviricetes sp. RNAcentral describes it as "tRNA-Pro". It matches the Rfam family "tRNA". From Rfam's summary of the family: Transfer RNA (tRNA) molecules are approximately 80 nucleotides in length. The record is from RNAcentral. Lineage: Duplodnaviria; Heunggongvirae; Uroviricota; Caudoviricetes.